RNAcentral lists this ribosomal RNA (253 nucleotides) under uncultured microorganism. RNAcentral describes it as "partial 16S ribosomal RNA". It matches the Rfam family "Bacterial small subunit ribosomal RNA", at positions 524 to 776 of the family's 1533-position model. The record is from RNAcentral.
UACGUAGGGUGCGAGCGUUAAUCGGAUUUACUGGGCGUAAAGGGUGCGUAGGCGGCCGCGUGUGUCUGGCGUAAAAUACCACGGCUCAACCGUGGGAAUGCGCUGGAAACUACGUGGCUUGGGUGCGGCAGAGGCAGACGGAACUGCUGGUGUAGGGGUGAAAUCCGUAGAUAUCAGCAGGAACGCCGGUGGAGAAGUCGGUCUGCUGGGCCGUAACCGACGCUGAGGCACGAAAGCUAGGGGAGCGAACCGG